Molecule: long non-coding RNA, 34323 nt
Filed under: Medicago truncatula (barrel medic)
Lineage: Eukaryota; Viridiplantae; Streptophyta; Magnoliopsida; Fabales; Fabaceae
Description: long non-coding RNA (MTRU_LNC000128)
Source: RNAcentral
UGCCAUUUAGGUGGAUGACAAAAAGUGUGGCAAUAAUGCUAUACAAGUUAUGUGGGUUUUGCUUCUCAGGGCUCAUUCUUCAUUGUUUCUGUUACUUGAUUGGCAACUGUUUUUUGUGAUUUGCUUGGAGCUUUUAAUGUUGAUUUGUAGACAAGGUGUGGCUGUUGAAAAAGGAUUUAAGGAUCAUGAGUGAUGAGGACUGCAAUUUCAAAAGGCAAACAUUUUGGAAUAUGUGCAGGCAGGGAGGCAGAGAUGUUGACUGCAUUAGUCUUUUCUUGAGAUUUUCUGUCACUGGAUUUGUUUUAAUUAAUACUUUUUCUUAGCCAUCUAUAGGUUGUUACUGAAGUAUACAGAACCAAAUAUGGGUCCAAGAAACCACGAUGCUUUUUUAAUCUAUUAAUGAUACCUUUUUAUUCUACUGACAUGAAUUGCAAACAUUAUUUUUUUUUCCUUCAUCGGUCCAGGAUUUUGGGAUGAAGUUGAUUUUUAAGUCAUGGUUUUUACUACACUUUUUAUAUUACAAGAAAGUUAGAAUUGAUAAGCAUUGGUACUGCAAGUAAUAUAACCUUGAAGAUUAAUUAAAUUGUAGAACACCAUCACGGAAGAAAUAAUAGAUUUAAUUGGAAUAGUUGUGCAAUGGUUUCUUAUUGUUUGGAAGACCUCAUUAAUUAAGAUAGAAAAAACUGAUAGGAGUAUUGUAUUUCUGUUUCUGUUAAAUCAUGAAUGGAUAAUUUGUAAUUUUAAUUUGUCAAAGAUCAGCUAUACAUGUAAUUGAGGAAUUCAGGUGCUCUUAAAAUGACUAUUGAGUGAACUUAAUACCAUUUUGUUUAGAAAUGCUAAAUAUUUAAGAAGUCGUCUUUUUUGUUUGAAAGUUUUUUUAAAAGGUUGGAUGAUUUUAAUCUUAAUAUUGCAUAUAUGUUAAAUUUGUCGUGUUUUUUAAUAGCCCCAUAAAAAUAAAAAUGCAACUUAUCCUAACACAUAAAAAUUGUUAUUGUUUGUGUUAAAUUCUACUAUAUUUUAAUCCACAUUAUAAAUGUCCGUGCGUCAGCACGGUUGGUUAUCUAAUUUAUUUAUAUUUCUUACGGAAGCUUAGUGACAUUUUUUCCCCUAAUGUUUUCCAAUACACUUCAAAUUUUAAUUUAAUGUUUUCCCUCCCACCAUUUUCUAUAUUGCCACGUCAUAUCAGGAUUUUGGAGAAAUUUUGGAGAAAGCAAUAUUAAAAAUGAUAUAUAGGAUAAAAAUAUGUAAAAAAAAUGUAUUCUUUGAUACUGCAAUCAAUAUUUCAUAAAAAUUGACAAAUGUUUAAUAUUGCUUUCUCCAAAAUUUUCCAAAAAACAUAUCUCUCUCCUUCCAAAAAAUUGGUUUCCUCUCUCUAAAUCCCUAAAUCCCUUAUACCCUAAAAAACAUUGGUUUUCCAAAUCAAUUGGUUCGAUCGCCAUCAAUCUCUUUGCAGUUCUAUCUCACGGCUCUUUGAAACGCACCGUUUUAAAGCUGAAAGAAAGGGUUUCGGUUCCACACAAUACAAACACAAACACUCUUCGAUUUCAAAGGUUUUAGUUUCUUUCCUCAGUUUCUGCUUUCAAUUUUCUUCGAUUCUGAUUCGAUUUUCUCCGCUUUCUUUUCUCAGUUUUUCUCAGAUUUUGCUUUCAAAGGUUUGUGUUGCAUCGAUUUUUGUUGAUUGUUUUUUGGCUUAAACCCACUUUUGACCCCCUAAGUUUUCAAAAGUUGCAAUUUUGACCCCCUAUUAAAAAAAAUGGCAAAAGCCACCCCUCAUGUUUAGCCCCUUUUGCAAAACCCCAAUUUUGACUUAGUCAAGCCUACGUGUCAUGCCAUAUAAUUUCAAAAGUUGACAGCUGUGUAUUUUUUAAAUUAUAAAAAAAAAAAAAAAAAACCAAGCGUGUAAUUACAUAAUUAAAAAAAAUGAAAAAAAUGAAAGUGUUAUUUGGAGAGGCACGCAUGAGCUUCUUCCCCAAACCACACCACCACCUCCCAACAACCAUCACCUCCCCUUUAGUUCUUUCCACCACAUCAUAAUCAAAAAACACAACCACAUCCUUAAAAUCAACAACAUUAGCAAACCUAAUCCAUAUUUUAAGAACCCAAUCCAAUUAGUGAAAACCCAAAUCAACCCACGUAAUUUCAGAAAAAUUAAACCAGUACAAUAUAUCCUUAAACCAGUUAAAAACUGGUGUUUUCCCAAAGGAAGAACUCACUUUCAGAAUAAAUUCACAAACUAAUUUCAUUUCUCAAAUUAAAUCAGUUUUUUCUUCAUAUCGUGAUUCUCUCUACAGUGUCAACCAUCUUCACAAAAUCACUUCAAAUCCUUCACACCGUGUUAAAUAUCCACGAACGCGAUUCUCAGAAACGUGAUUCAAUAAGAUCUGACCAAAACCGCGUUUCAAAAUUAAGUACUAAUUAACUUUAUUUAAAAUGAUUGAGAAGGAGAACAAAUCUCUGAUCUAAUUGGAUGUUUAUUGGGAGGAGGAGGUAUUGGUUUAAGUUUGGUAUGGAUUGAAGAUGAUAGUGUUUCUGGUAAAUUAAUAGACGAUUGAAUGGCGAAGAUAAAGGUUUGGUAUGGAUUCAAGAUGAAAGUUCAAUGUUAUCUUUCAUGAAGAUUGCACGUGCCUGCCAAUUUUUUCUUGAUUUUUUCUUUUUUUUAUUCUGCAAUUACAAGUGUGGAUAUUUGUGCUCGUGAUUUUCGGAUAUCAAACCAUUAAUUGAUUUGAAUCGUCAAUCUUUGAACUCUCGAUUUUUAUUCGUGGGAAUGGAAAAAAAUGAGUAAAAAUCCUUAAGACUUUGGAUUCGGGGGUUGGUUACGCGAAGGGAAGGUGCUAGCACCCUAAGCGUCUAUGGUAUUCCAUAGGAACCUCUUACCUAGAUUAUCUUGUGCUAAAUUCAUUUGCUUACUUGAAAAAUUAUUACCUAAAAAUCUAAGUGAAAGAAUGGAGGGAGAAUAAGUAUGUUUUUGGUUAUUUUUAUUUGAUUUGGAAGGAUUGACUCCCUUGCCUACAUACCCUUAAAGAAAGGGAUCAAAACCAAUGUAGUUCACCUCAAAAAUUUCUUUGGUGGGUUAGGUUGAUUUUAAGAUUUUUGAAAAAUGGGUUUUAAGAAGAGAAAGAGGCCUCAAGGCAUGAGAUAAAGAAAACAAGUGAGGUUGAUUGAUUUUAAAGUUUAAAAAUGGUUGAAGUUGAAUUAAGAUUGAUUGAGAAUUUGAUUAAGAAAAUAAAGAGAAAAUGUUGUUAAGAAAAUUAUUUUUGAAUUUAACAUAUUUAGGUUUUUUGAUAAAAAGGUUUUUCUAAACUAAUGGUAAGCUAACGUAACGACGUAAAAAAACAAGCGGAAAGCGGUAAAUAAAUUGUGGUAGUGUCGGUGUUUGUGUUACCUACAUUAUUACAUCAAUUCCUAAAUACAACUCUAAGACCUUUAUGCCAAAAUAAAAUGCAAGAAAUAAAACUUACAUCAAUUUCCUAUUUAUACACACUAAGUCAAUGACAAAAUAAAAUGAUGAGAAAGUUAAAUGUGCAUGCUAUAAUUCAAAACAAAGAUUAAAUCGUUAGUAAGCAUAAGGAAUAUUGUGAUGAAUGAGACAUAAGAAGUAAUAAGCAAGAAAUUAAGAUUAAACAUAUGAAAAUAACAAGUGACAAUUAAAAUCAUCAUAUAAAGACACAAUAAAGCAACAAUUGAAAUCAAGUGAAGGAAUGAGCAAAAAAAUUAAAAGAAAUAAGUAGGAUGAAUUUUUGAAAAUUAGAGAAAAUUAAGAUGAUAAGAACAAUAUUUUUUUUUGGAAUUUUUUAAAAGCAUUAAAAUGUCAAAAAAAGUAUAAAAAGUAUUUAAAAAUAAAGAACAAUUAAAAGAAAGAAAUUGGCUCAGCAGGAUACAAUCUGGACCGUUGGAUGAAUCCAGAGGUCCAGAUCUAAAUCCCAAGAUCUCAUCACAGCCACAGGAUCUAAGAUCCAACAGUUAAAAACAGCACAAAAAUAGAGAAGCAAUCACAGAAAGCACAGCGAUCGUCAGAUCAAAGAUCUGACGGUUCAAACAGCAGGCACAUAGUGAACUACAAAAAGAACACGCGCUGGAUUAAACAAGGGAGCAUCAGCGGCCUUUAGAUUUACGAUCUGACGGCCUAACUUCAACAAGCGCGUGAUAAGUCUAGGAAAUACAUGUACAGGAUUUAAGCAACAAACAAAGUAUAUAAACUGAAUUAAAGAAGAAAAAACAUAAACUCACACUAAAACCUCUCUCUAAGACUAACUCUAGAGAGAGAGACUCUCACUUCUCUCUACAAAAGACAGCCGCUCCUCCACCUUCUUCUCCGGUAAGCAAAAAAUUUCCGGUGCGGUGGCCGGUGGUGGCGCCACCGCGCCGGAGUUUCAAACUCCUCCGAUUCAAAAACUUUUUAUAUUUUUAAACAUCCUUUUUCCUUCUCUUUUCAAAUCUCAAAUAUGAUGUAAAAAAAGUAUGAUCAAAUAAAGGGAGUCCCUAAUAUGGACCCUAAAAAUAAAGGUCCAUCCAUGGACCUGUGCAUAUUACCUACUACAACAGGUUACCUUAAAAAAAAUUACAAAAGGUUAGAGCAAGGAAUGAGAGGGGCACUGGUAGUUUCACAGAAGAUAUUGGAAGGUGGAUGGAAUUGAAAGAGAGUUGGAAAGGAAGAUUUGGUUGAAUCUUACAAGAAAAUAAUCAUUGAAAGUUUUCUACAUAGAUCUAUGAUGUUGGAUUUUGAACUUUCAUCAUCACUAUUGCAUUUUGCACAUAAGUUUUAUCUGGAUGUUGAGAACUUGGAGUUUAUUUUUUAUUUUUUUUCGGUAGCUCAAUUUUUUUCCGUGAACAUUAAUAUUAAUUCACAUAUGUCAAUCCUUUUAUUUUACUGCUUGUGUAAUCUCUUUCUGCAUAACAGAAACAAAAACCCAACUAAUUUCUGUUAUUUUAAUUUUAAUUUCAUUUAAAUGUAAGAAAAUGAUUCCCAGGGUGAAUUAACAAAAUAAAAUAGCAACCCAAUGUCACUUAGUUGUUGUUAAGUUGUAUCCAUAAGUUUGCUUAUCAAAUCUCAAAUGACUUUACUGCAAAUCAAAGUCAUGCUGGCUAGUGCUUGGAGAAGAGUGAAGUAGUUGGGUGAUUUUGUGAUGAAGAUAAUAAAAUUCAAUUUUUACUAGGGUAACCUGCUAUAGCAGGUAAUAUGCAUGGUUCAUUGGUGAACCUUUAUUUUUGAGAUCCAUAUUAGUGCUCCCUCAAAUAAAUACUCAAUCAAAUAUGAUGUAAAAAAAAAUAUUCAAUCAAAUAAAUAGAAUCCAAGCACAUAUAUAAGCUCUAUUUCAUAAUUCAUUUCCAACUCCCACCAAAUCUCAAUCAUCAUAGAUACACUCUUCUAGCCUUGAAUUAGCAUGGCCAAAUCAUCAUAGACUACAAGAAAAAUGCACAGCUGAUCCUAAGCUAGCCCCUAGGCGGUUUACACACAACUUUCUAGGCGUUUGUUAAGUCAUUGGUGAUGUGAUCAACAUCAUUAAUCACUUGAUUCAUCACAUCUUAAUAACCAAACACCGCCUUCAUUUAAUUGCUCCAUCUAUCGUAAUUCUUUCCAUCCAAGAUUGGAAAAUUGAUAGGGAAUUGAUCAUGAUUAAAUGCCACCGUUGUUGAUCGGUGAGGCCUACAUUACUCUCUCUUAUUUAGAAGGUAAUUUACCCUCUCAUGAUAUCAACCAAUCAAAAUGUAAUAUACAUAGAUAACAUUAAAUGUCAAAUGAAUGAGUAGAUUUUUUUAAAAAUAAAAGAGUUAAUCUUAAUUUUUUUUUUUUUGAAGGAGAGUUAAUCUUAAUCAUAAGGUAACUUUUAAUACUUUUAAUUUUUUAUUUUUUUUUGAAACAACAAAUGAUUUAAUUUUUUUUUUAUAUUAAGGUGUUCAAUCUUAAUUAAUUUACACUACAAGACUUAUAACAAAUACAAUUUUACAUAAAAUUUCUUCCAUUCUAGAACCCCGAACGUGAGAACAAAAACAUCUCCUUCUUUCAAAUUUCUUCUUCUUUAUUCUUCCAUAUUGAUCAAUUUUUGUUUCUUUUUCAUUCUUCUUCCCAUUUUGAUUGUUCAAUUUUGUCGUUCCAAAUUGCCGCAAUUUCCAAUUAUCGUGAGAAUUGUCGUUGUUUCUAGAACCGCGUUAGGUAUCGUGACUUAUUUUUUUUAUUUAAGCAGCCAACCUAAUAAAAUCUGUUAACACACAUAGACCUGUCUCACUAUCAGCAAAAGCCUUUAAGUCCAAAUAAAAGAACAAAAACCUCAUCACAUAACCAUUUCAGCAGCAACCAAAAGAAUGGUAGCAAACUCCCACAACAUCAGAGCGGCAACACCUGCUAGCAGCCCUCAAAGUACAAUGAAUGAUUUACUCAAUUGUUAUAAUUAACUACCUCACAAUCAAGAAAAAUCAAAUCAAAAACAAAAAUCAAGUCAUCAUACCUGACGUUGUACUGAAAAUAACGGCAAUUCUCACGAUAUUUGAAAUCAUGAUGAUUCUCACGAAAAUUGAAAAAUGCGGCAGUAGGGAACGACAAAAUUAAACAAUCAAAAUGGUAGGAAUAAAUUUUAUGAAUAUAACUGAUAAAUUUAAGGACAUUCAGAUGAAAGAAAUUUGAUGUGAAAUUUUAAUUGUUCUAAGUCCUGUAGUGUAAAUUAAUUAAGAUUGAACACCUAAAUAUAAUUAAGGCAAUAUUACAUUAUGGGUCCUUUAUCUUAUUUAUUUGUAACACUUUGGUCCUUUGUCUUUAUUUUUUCCCGUUUAGGUCCUUUAUCUCUCUUAAAAGCACAUAUACAUCUUUUUUCGCAUUUUUUUUAUUAAAAAAUACAUAAUUUUAUUUUUAAAAAUAUAUUUUUAUUAAAACUGAAAAAAAUCCAAAAAUAUGAUGAAGAUGUUCAUCAUCUUCAUCUUCUUCCUUUGAAUCUUCAUCAUCUUCUUUAAAUAUAAAAAAAUCUACUAAAAUAUAUCUCCAAAUAUCGUGAAUUAAUGUUAUAUUCACUUCAAAUCUUAUUUUAAACACAAAAAUCAAAACUUUAAUUUCACAAAUGUUGCAAGGCGGAUGGUGGAGGCUUAGUCACUGGCGAAGUGUUAGGCUUUACGAAAGUUAAGAUUGUUUUGAAAACAACAAAAUUGAUGUGCAAAGCUGGGGUUAUUUUUAUGUCGGACUUGAAUAUUGAGUUAGAAAAUAAUAAUAAUAUACAGCGUGAAAAUUUAUAUAACUAAUUUUUUUAUUUUUUUUUUUGUGAUGAAACUAAAUCUCUUUCUCUAUAGGGGUUUGAUUUUUGUGUUUAAAAGAAUAUUUGAGGUGAAUAUAACAUUAAUUCAUGAUAUUUGGAGAUAUAUUUGUGUAUAAUUUUUUUUGAUUCAAUGAAGAUGAUGAAGAUUCAAAGGAAGAAGAUGAAGAUGAUGAACAUCUUCAUCAUAUUUCUGGAUUUGUUUCAUUUUUAAUAAAAAGAUAUUUUAAAAAAUAAAAUUAUAUAUUUUUUUAAUAAAAAAAUGAGAAAAAGGAUGUAUAUGUGCUUUUAUAAGAGAUAAAAGACCUAAGCGGAAAAAAAUAAAGAUAAAAGACUCAAAUGUAACAAAUAAAUAAGAUAAAUGAUCUCCAAUGUAAUCAUGUCUAUAAUUAAAUAAAAAUUAAAAGUAUUAAAAGUUAACUUAUGAUUAUAAUUGAUUCUUUUUUUAGAAAAAAAAUUGACUCAUUUAUGACAUUUAAUGUUACCAAUGUAUAUUACAUUUUGAUUGGUUGAUAUCAUGAGAGGGUAAAAUACUCUCUAAAUAAGAGAGGGUAAUCUAAAAAAAACCUUGUUGAUCACAAACCAUACUCUUGACAUCAUAUGUUGGAUAAGGAAAAAUCUCACUAAUGGUUCUCUUGUACACUCUUACACUCACUUUUGUUAAGAUCAUUGAAGAGGAAGAUUUGAAAAAGAAAGAAAUGUUGAGACUCACUCAUGAAAUGAAAAUCACACACACUUGUGAUUUUUUAUCUACACUAACGUAAAGACGGACACUAACGCAUUCAUCUUUCCAUAUAUUGGUAGUAAACAAAAUAGUAAAAAAUUAAAUGAAUGUCAGAAUAAAGGUUUUUAUAGUGUCAAAUAUUUGUUCUAUUUUGUGGAUUUUUCUCUUAUUGUUGCGGAUUGUUAUGGGAUUUAAUUUACCAACCAAAAGGUUUUUAUCCCCCUUUUGUUACUAAGUUAAAGAAAUGUGACAACAAAUGCAACUUCUUUUGACAAUGGUUAGAUAAAAAAACAAUGAUUGACAUGAAGAAUGUGUUUGAAAGUGUGAAGAACUUAAAUUAUACAAUGUUUGUACGAAUGAAUUAACUAGUAAUAUUACAAAAUUCACUAAAAAACUAUAAGCUGACAUUGUUCAUUAACUUCAUCUUGAAGCAUGUCAUGAAUAAUACCCCCUUCCAACCAACAACAAUUAUCACAGUCCUCGGUCCAUCUUCCAGCACCUCUGUAGAAUUUUUCACGAGAACUGAAAGUAAUUUGUUUAAGUGAAUUCACAUUCCUCAAUAGGUGACUGGCCAAUUCAAUUACAUUUAUGGUGCACAUACAACCUCGUAACUCAACAUAUUUCAAAUAAUUAUGAGAAAACCCUGCAUAUUCUCUUCUUUGUCUCUCAAAUCCAAUCAUAUGUGAAUUUUCCGGAUGUGAAGUUCUUAUCUGAAAAUUCAAAAAUAAAGACCAUAUUAUUACAUGUAUGAGAAUUCCAUCGGGCAUAUAAUGGCAGUCAUUCAUUACUUUAGUCUAAAUAAGAGGUUUUAAGAGGUUUAUUAUUACAUAUGCGACUUUUUUUACUGUAAGAUCUAAGAUGACCAUUUUUUUUACUAUAAUCUAUAAUGGCAUAACUAUAAGGUAUUAUUAUAGAUCUUAUAGUAAAAAAGAGAGCAUGUAAUUUAGAAGAAGCAAAAAAAAAAAUGAAGCGAUGGAGAAGAAUAGGCAGCAAUGGCCAUCCGAGGUGAAGUGGUGGAGAAGAACAGACAACAAUAAUCAUCAACAAGAAGAACAAGGGACAAGAGCAAUACAACGGAGGCAUCAUGGAGGAGUUUUGGAUCUGAUGGUAUGGGAGCGAUUGGUUGUAAUCUCGAAGGAACUAUUCUACAAUUUUGUUUGCAGCAUAGAAAAACCAAUAAGAAAGUUCAGGGUGUUUAAAGUUGUCUAUAUGUUCUGAUUCUGUUGAGAAGGCUUUUGGAUUUUGCGGGUGGCUUUUAAGGGGUUUGAACUAGUGUUGUUGCUUGCCUCUUGACAGUGUGAGUGUUCAAUUCCAGGGUGUGUUCUUAGUAGGAGUUUUAUUUACAUAUGUAUAUUUUUGAUGUUUUUUUCGUUUGAGAUCUUGAGAACUGGUGUACAUGUAGGGUGCAUAUGCUUUGAUGCACUACUUUGACAUUGUAUCAUUGAUUUAUUAAUAAAUUUCUCUACUUAUUGGGAAGGGAGCAAAAUAAGAUUUAAGGCCAGGCCGGCCUACAGGGACCUAUGGCCUGGCCUGUUUAAGCCUGGCCUAGCCUGUUUAUUAAAAAGGUCAGGCUUAGGCUUUUGAAAAAGCCUAUUUAACUAAAUAGGCCAGACUUAGGCUAUCAAAAAAAACAUAUGAAGCCUAAUAGGCCGGCCUGUUUUUCAAAUUAAUAAAACUUAUUUUUUAUUUAUAUUAAACAUAAAAAUAGAGAAACAACUUAAAUAAUAAACUUUUUAAUUAGGCUUUAAGGUCUUAUAGUGAAAUAGGCUUUUAAAACCGACAAGCCUUAUAGUUAAGUAGGCUUUGAGGUCAAUUUAGCCUAUUUAAAAAUAAAUAAAAUUGAGUAUUUAAUGACUUUAAUAUAAAAUAGGCAUGCAAGUAGGCUUUCAGGCCAGUCCAGGCCAAAAAAAUAAGCCUAUGAAAGGCCGUAGGCCAGGCUUAGGCUUGCUAAAAUUUUCGUAGGCCAGGCUCAGGCCUAUCAAAGCCUGGCCUGGCCUAUUCCCAACCAAAAAAAGUUAAAUUACAGUAUUUAUUGUUAUAAAAUGAUCAACCAAAAAAAUGAAGAGUUGAAUAACUCACCGUAAGAGAUAGUUUUUGGAGAUGCUGACAAGCCAUUGCAAUAUCCAAAAUCCAAAAGUAGUCUAUAUUAAAAUUAUAUUGGUCCAUGAUAAAGAGCUGGUCCAAUUCUCCGGGACUUUGAAAUCGAACAUAUGGACCCUCGAUAAAGAGCUCUAAUUGUCUGAGAUUUUGAAAUCGAACCAAGACUGUUGAUAAUUCUGUUAUCUGUUUACACAAAUAAUAAUUCAAGUGGAUUACACGCAGCUAGUAGCUCAAUUAUUAAUUAAAAGAAACUUAGGUAGUCAAUAGUGGCAGAUUGUGCCACAACAAUCCCAAGUGCGUCUCAUAUUAAGGGUGCAGUUGAAACAAUAGACAUUAUGUCCAAUCUUUGUAUACAAAAUAGACCAGACAAUAUAUUUGUUGGGUCAAGUAAUUUAAUGAUUGGAUUCACAAACUUUUAAGUGUGAAAAAGAGGGGAAUUUGGGGUUUUAACCCCUACCUCAACAUAUUAUUGUCCUUGCAGGCUGCAGCUAUAAAUUGAGAUGUAUUUAAUAGACGACUAGACAACAUUUAUAAUAUAAAUAAAGAACAUGAUAAACAAUAAAUAAACAUUAACAAACAUGAGUUUUGACUACUCACCUGUGAAUGGCUAAUGGUCAUAGCUAAAUUCUCAAUAUGUUGUAAACUUGCAAUUGAACCAAAGAGAUGUGAAUUUCUUUCUCUGAUAGCCGCAUUCCAAAAAAUGGUCAAUAACUUUGGAGCCUUAAUAGAGAAUCUUUGUGUGUGACCACUGUAUUCAAAGGAUGAGAGGUUGAUUGCGUCGAUACUUAUGGGAGGAGAAUAUUGUUCUUGAGAGCCACAAUUGAUUAUGUUCAAAUGACGCAACUUUGUACUGAUAACCACCAGUUCACUUAUGAGGUUGUAGUUCUUAAAGGUAACGUCCUCGAGUUGGAGACACCCAGAAAACAGAAGUGGCACUAAUUUACCAGAUAUACAUUCAUGGACACCGUCCAACACAAUUGUUGUCACAUUUUUCAUUCCAGAAAACCCCACACAUUCAUAGAAUUUGCUGCCGGUGAAGCUAAACUUGGAUAACAUAUGAGCCUUGAUGUUCAUUGUGUGUACUUCAGUACUGGUACAAGAAUAUUCAAAGGAUGAGAGAUUUGAUGCAAUGAUAUCGAUAUUCCUCCUCUUCUUGAUUUUAACCCCGCAAUUAACAAUGUUGAAAUUUAACAAUGUUGGGCUGGUUAUUUUUAAGUCAGACUUGAACUUGCAGUCAUCAAGGGUGAAGUCUAGAAGAUGGAUGCAGUUGGAAAGUAGACAUUGAAUCAUAUCCUGUUUCACAGAAACUAGAGACAACACAAGAGUUUUCAAAUUCUUCAAACCACAGAAGUUGUCCAUAGAUAUUAAUAGGAUGCACCUCUUUAAGUGCAGAUACGUUAGAGAAUCAGCCUCAGAUAAGAGAUCGAAGGGUAAUAAUAUGUAUGGGCGCAUAUAAUCAGAAUCAGCAUCAUCAUCAUCUUGAUAUGAUAAGAUCAAUUCAAGACGUUUGACACCCUUAGCAAUUCCUUUGGAAAUCAUCCUUUCAAUGACACCUGUGUGUUUGGUACCUAAUGGAAACACGAGUCGGAUUGAAUGGAUCAUGUCACCUUGAUAAUGCAGCAUGAAUUGAUCCACUCUUGCGGCAAAUUCAGAUUCGACCCAUUCAAAGAGUGUGAUGUCUUUUGGAAAUUUAUCAUAGUCAAACAAAGUAUUGAUAUCAAAGUUGAGGUCCACCCUGAAUCCCCAUUCGUGAAGCCAUAGUUUGGACAAUGUGAUUGUUUUCACCAAAUCCUUCAAACCUAACUUUGAAAAGAUAUAUGAUAUAACACAAUCAGGCAACACAGGGAACUCAGUCUUGUGUUUUUUACUCCUCUCCAUCUCCAUUGUUGCCGCAAGCACACCAGAAAUUGAAUUAAUAGCCUAAACAAUGAAAUAAAAAUUUGAUUUGAGUUCAGUAAUUUCGACAGUGAUGAUACAGAAGACACACAAACACAGAAGCAAUUACAAACACAAUCCAAGUCAAUAAUUCAAAAAGAAAUACAACAAUAAAUUAACAUAAGUGUAUUUCAAAAGAAAAAGUAAAGAAAACUUAAUUUAAUCAUAUAAUCGCAUGUUCAUGUCUAUUACAAAACCCACAAAGAAUUCAUAACAAGCUAAUAAAACCACCGAUUCAUCAAAAGAAAAAGAUUAUCACACCAUUUGUUUUUAGAAUUGCGAUUAAACAUGCACAUAGGUUCAAGCCAAAACAUCUAAUUAUUAUGUGAUCACACAUAUAAACCUAAAUUGCACGAAUGAAUCGAUGAUAAGAAUAGAAACGAAAAAGAAGCGUUGACUGGAUGUUGGUUACCUUGUGAAGGAGAAAGCUGCGGUGCUGAAACCUAGUCGCAAGGAAGAGAUCAAGAGAAUGAAUGAGAGUUGAGAGGAAUGAUUUGUAGGGCUUAUAAACAAGGGUUUAGAUGGGCCUACAUCGGACAGCGUGAUUGAUUCUGGAUCGAUUGAUAUUUGGGCAGGAUAUUAGAUUUUAACAAAAAAUACUACAUGAAAAAAUCAUUUAAGAUUGUGUGCAAAAAUAAACGUUUAAUACAUGAUUUGAUCCUUAACUUAUUUUUGGAUUUUAAUUUGGUCCCUUAACUUUAAUCUGUCUCAAUUUGGUCCCCUAAGUAUACCUCUGUUUACCCAACUGGUCCUUUCUGUUAAUUUUUAUCAAAAAACGUUAACUUUUCAAAAACUAUGUUAAGGAACCAAUUGGGUAAACAGAGGUACACUUAGGAGACCAAAUUGAGACAGUUUAAAGUUAGGGGACCAAAUUGAAAUCCAAAAAUAAGUUAAGGGACCAAAGCAUGUAUUAAGCCUAUAUGAUGUUAAAUGGUGGAUGGAUAAAGUUGAUUGUGUAGGAAGUGAGCUUAGGUUGAUUAAUAUAUUGAUAGGAGUAUUUUGCUUGACUGAGUUGUUUAAAAUGUUAUUGUAUUGUGCCAAGUCCAUGUAAUGUUGUAAUGUUGUAAUGAAAAGAGGUUGUCAAUGAAUGAAUCAAACAUUUCUGUCAAAAAAAUUCAUUCGCAUUGGUCCUUGAAUUAUAUACAUAUCCAUCAUUUCGAUCCUCAAAUUAGUGAAAAUACCAUCAAAUAGGUCCUUGAAUUUUCACAACAGAUAUCACUGUGAUCCUUGGUGCAUACAUUUGCUGAACAAAGUAAAAAGUAAAAGACAGACACUUUGAUUAUAAAAAGACACACAUUUGCAUACCAUCAAGUCAUAUAUUUGAUGUUCAUAAGUCACUAAAUAGCAAAAAAUAAAAUAACAUUACAUAGCCAUCAAUUCAUCAAAUCAUUUGAUGUUCUUAAGUGAUUACAUAUCCAAAAAAUCAUAAACUAAACAAGUCCAAAAAACAUUAAUUAAACUAGUCAAAAAGCAUAAUUUAAACAAGUAUCAAUGCUUUGGAAAUCCUGAAGUUGGGAUAAACUCCAUGUAUUCGCAUUGAGUAGAAGCGGAUUUUGGAUUUGGAACUCUAAUAACUCCAGGAGCAGUUGGAUUUUGUGGAGCAGGACCCCUCAGUGGUGUUUGUUUAUGCAUGUCAUUUGAAAUCACUGAUCCUCUCAUGCAAUAUCUCCUGUACUCAUUCUCUGCAAAUAAAAUCAAUCAUAUCAGCCCUUAAAUUAUAACAAAAUCCAUCAAAUUAGUCCUCAAAUUAUGCCAAUAAGUCUCAAAUCGAUCCAUAUUUUAGAGGGGUAUAAUUGGAAACACAGGAAAAUUUAUACUUAAAAGUUAAGUCUCGAAUUUGUACUAUUUCCAUCAAUUUAGUCCUUGUACACGUGGCUACCUUGUUGACACGUGUACAAGACAACACAGCAUGCAAGGGACACGUCAUCACCACUAACAGAGUUUUUGGACGGAGGGAACAUUUUGAUGAACGUCUGUAAAAUUCAGGGACUAAAUAGAUAUUUCGCAAAAUUCAGGGACGAAUUUGGCCGAUUUUUUAAAAUUCAAGGACGAAUUUGAGGUAUUAGUCGUUAACUUUUAUUGGCAUAGUUGUAUAAUCGUCAACAUUUGUUCGAUAAAAUAGAUUUGAUCUUCCCUGUCCAAUGGUGUAAUGGAAAUGGAAAUUUAAUUUUAAGUGGUUGGUGAAUUUUAUACCUCUAUCCUACCUUUGCUAUUAAACCCAAUAAAAAAACAUAAAACAUCAAUAAUCUUCAUUCAAUUUCAUCAUGGUAUGUCCGAUUUUUAUUUAGGCUGAUUAUCAUCACCAAUUCAGUUAACUUUAAGCAAGCAUCUUCCGCAUAUUUGUGUUGAAUUGAAAAAGGAUGCAAAUGAGAAAGAAAUAGUGGUGGGAUUGUGUGUGGAAAAGGAAUAAAUGUUCUCAUAUUUUUCUUAAACAAUCUUGACCAUUGAUUCAAUCAAAUGGUGUUAUUGUGGUGCUUCACCUGUGAGGGAAUUAAUUGAACCCUCACCCUAGAAUCCAUCAUUUUUUAAAUUUAUUUCCUACAACAGUUUAUUUUUUUGAGAGGUUCAAAUUUAUUUUCCAGUUAUAUUUUUUUUUAUUAAAAAAUUGUAUUUUUAGUCCUCCCAUUUAUUGCUAGUAAAAGUAAAAUAAAAACUAAUUUCUUUUGGUGCUAGAGAAAAAACAAAGAAAGAACUACAACAAAACAAUUGGAUUAAAGGACCUUGUCCUUCCAAAUCAAUAAAAAAUGUAAACAAAGAACCUUCAUUUUUCUUUUAUUUAAUCACCACUCUAAUUUCUUUUUUAAAGCAAGCAAGUUUAAGCACAAAAAGUUAAAUGAAAUCAAGAGGUUCUCGUAGAGUACUACGAACAUAAAGGGUGCUAAUACCUUCUCUUUAUGUAACCAACCCCCGAACCCUAAAUCUUUUAAAACGUGGUAUUUGAACUUUUUUCCCCUUUUUUUAAAAAAUUAAAAGUUCAGUCGUGAAAUAAAAUUAGUGAGUCUAUGCUAAUAAAAUAGCUUGACCUCCGAAAAAUGACGCGACACAGCCCUUUUGAUAGUAGAUGAAUAAAUAAAGGUCAAAUACUAUGACAUCUUGUUGUAGAACUUUUUCUUAAUGACACAAUUGCUCAAGUUAGAUAUUUAUAUAUGUAUUUUAGUUUUCAUUUGACUAUCUUUAAAUAUAUAUAUAUAUAUAUAUAUAUAUAUAUAUAUAUAUGUAACAGUGUAAUGUCCUAUAUUUUUUACAUUAGCGGUGUCGACAUGUCCGUGUCAGGUGUCUAUGUCGGAGUCCAUCCUUCAUAUGACUGAAUUCACAACUUUAUUCUAAUAUUUUUAUGCACGUUUUUGUUGCCCAUGUUUGGAUUGAUGGCAAGAUGGUCAGGAUUAUGGCAAAAACAAAACAAAACUUUAGAGUAUUACCACCAUAAUUUUAUCAAACUCAUCGUUCAUCCAAACAUACACUCAAAUAAAUUGUAUACAAUGUUCUUUGAUUUCUUUACUUGUUAUUGACUUAAAUCUAAUUAUAGACUUAAACUCUAGAGUUUUUUUUUUUUUUUUUUGAGCAAUUAAACUCUAGAGUAUUAGCGCUUGAUUUCUUUACCCCACAUAUUAUUAUUUUUCAUGCUUUUGUUAAAUAUUUCCCUUUCACAUUUAUAUCUUCAUGCCUUUCUCAAGAUAAAUCAAUACCAUGCAAUAUUACUAUAUGGUGACAAUUAGGGUAUCCAUAUAAAAAUGGUGGGUAAUAUUUACCUCAACCAAUAAACAUUCACAUUUUGAAGUGAUAUCUAUGAACUAUCUUGACCUCACCAAUAAAUUGCUUAUUUUCAUUGGUUGAUCGGUAAAUUUCCCACCAUUUUUCAAAGGUAAUCUAGAAAAAACCUUACUAUAUUAGACCUAAAAAAGUAUAUAUACUAUCAGGCCGAACCGGUUCCCCAAGGCCCAACGCGCGCCUCUGUUGCUUUUCAGAGGCCCAACUCAAUUUUAAUUUCUGCACCUCCCAUGGUACUGUCUGUACCCCCCACCUUGUGAUUGAACCCAAUUUUUAUUUCUUUCAAGUGUUGCAUACAUUUUAUUUAUCUCACAAUGUCUGGAAUCAAAAGGACGACAACGAUUCUCAAGAUAAUUGGAAACGAUGACAAUUCUCGAACGAGAGAAUUGAACAAUCAAGAUGGGAAAAAGAAUGAAAAAGAAAUUGCACGUUAUGUGUGUUCUAAGUUUUGGAAUGAAACAAAAUUUAUGAACGUAUGUGGGGUGUGUUUCGUAAAAAUAAGCUAUAAGCUAGUUGAAAAACAAGCUUAUAGCUGAUGUUUUAUAACUGAUAGUUUAUAGCUGAAAAGAUGGUUUAUUAAAAUUGAAGUGUUUGGUAAAAUUAGAUGUUGAAGUGACUGAUAAGUAUAAAAUGAAAUAAAUUAUAUGUAUUUAUUUUUUAAUAUUUUAAUUUAUGGUUAACUAUGUUAUGGAUCCUUGUAAAUAUUUAAACUUUUGGUUUUAGUCUCCAAUAAAAUUUCACCGACAAUUUUGAUCUUUGUUUUUCUUUUUGUACAAAAGAGGGGAAAAAGCUUAUCUACUUUUAUGAAUCCCAAAAAUAAGAGGAAGGUGGAAAAAAAUGCAAGCAAGAAUAUAUAAAAUUUUACAACGUACCGUAGGCUAGUUAUAGUUAAAUAUAAAACAUUUUAUUUUAAGAAAUAUAUAUAAAGCGUUCAUUAAAAAAUAAAAUAAAACAUGACAGUUUUUUUUUUUCAAAGGAGAAAAUGUUGCACUUGUUUUAUUAAAAAAUAAGCUAUGAACUUGACCGUUAUUUUUUAAGCCAUGAACAUGUUGUUUUAUUAAAAAAUAAUUAAAUUAAAUUAAUAGGGUUAAAACUGGAAGAAAAUAUAUAAAACUAUCAGCUAUAAGUUCAAAAGCUACUUGAAAUAGCUUCUCAAAAAACGCUAUAAGCUAGUGAAAGAAGUUUUUUUACCAAACACACCUUAUCAUAUCAAAACAAGGUUAUAAGAUAGUCCAAUAAGCUAUAAACUAGAUUAUUCGUGUUACCAAACACAACCAUGAUGAGUUGAAUUUGAUGUGAAAUUUUAAUUGUUACAAGCCAUAGUGUAAAUUAAUUAAGAUUGCAUACCUAAAUAUAAUUAAAUAAAAAUUAAAAGUUACCUUAUUAAAAUUUCUUUUUUUUUUUUAUAGAAAAAUUGACUCAUUUAUUUGACAUUUAAUGUUACAUUUUGAUUGGUUGAUAUCUUAAAAGGAUAAAUAUCCUCUAAACAAGAUAGGAUAAUCUAGAGCUCACCACAUAGAGAAGGUUGAUAAACUAGUUACAAACCAAAGGGCUAAUUGUUAGGAUCAUCAUUGGAUCAAAAUCCUAUGAACCUUCGUGACGAGGAAUUCCUCUCAUGCCUGCUCAUGUUCUGGUGCAGGUUUGUUCCAUUUUUGUGACUUGUUUGUUGGUAUUUUUUUAUUUGAAAUUCCAGAACAAACGAGUUGAUCUUAUUUGAGUUCCUGCUCUUUUUGAUCUUGCUUCUAUGAGAGAUGCUAUGAAGAAUCUUGGUGGUGAUCCUAGCAUUGAAGUAAUAAAAACGAUGAAAAGAGAAGGAAAAAAAAUGAGGGAAAAAAGAGCAGAGUGAAAUAGAAAAAGUAGGGGUAAAGUUGUCAUUUUAUUAUUAAUGUAUUCCAUUGGAUACGGGUUAGGAUCCUCUUCAUUUAUGUGUUUCUCUAUUUCUUUAAUUUGGAGAGAUAAAGACACAUAAAAUUUUGAAAAAAGUAAAAUAUAAUUAAUGAUGGUGGAAACCACUUAGUGGUAGGACCCAUCAUCUAUUUUUUGUGUCUAUCUCUCUCCAACUUGCAAAACUCCAAUUAUUUUGCCAAAUGGAGAGGAUGUUCACCCAUUGGAUACACUCCAAAUUGAGGAGAAUGAAAAAUUGAGUGAAUGGAUGGUAUUGGAUGCAAUGGGUUCCAUCACAUUCCAUUUCAUUCAUUUUUUACAAAACCAAAUAAAGGAAUCAAGUUAUAUCUCACUCCAUUUCAUUCCAUUCCACCACUCUCCAUCAAUCCAAGCAUAGCCCAAAUUCGUCGAGAUCUCUCUCUCUCUCUCUCUCAUUCAAUCGCUGAAUCGUCAUCCUCAGACAUGGCUACGACGUUCGACAGCUCAGCCGGUGGCAUGUUGGCGAUGCUUAACGAGUCCCAUAUCUCCCUCAAGCAUCAUGCUCUCUCCAGGUAGUGUUAUUAUGAACUGUCACAUGUUCUAUUGAUAACCGAGCGAUGCUGUUUUUGCAUAUAUGGAGUCUCUUUCUUCAUGUGGCUAAGCUGUUAUGAUGUGUUUUACAUGAUAUUUGAGAUAGCAAAUAAAUAUUUUCGGCCUUCAUCCUUUUUGAUUGUACCUGGCUUCUAAACCAAUCACCAGAGGCCUUAAGUUUUUUUAUAUCCAUAUAUUAUUAUUCUUAGAUGCUGGAUUUCGUCUCAUGGUCUGUGUUUCUAGUAUCUAAUUUUUUUUUUUCGCUCCUUUAUCUUAGGUCUUUAAUUACUUGGGCGAGCUGAAUGACUCACUAUCCUAUGCCCUUGGAGCUGGUCCUCUGUUUGAUGUUUCACAGGAUUCUGACCAUGUCCAUACUCUUCUAGGUGAGAAUUGUUAUUUGGUUUUAUUCUAUUUAAUUUAAAGCUGUAUGCAGAUCUUUCAAGAAUACUAUGAUCUCUAUGAAAUGGACUGCAUUGAUAAUAUUGGUUCAGUUGGUGUUACUUGUUAGCGGUUUUACUCAUUUUGGUAUAAUGAAAUCAUAUGUUCUAUUCCACGACAAUUUAUAAAAUCUUAUGUUUUCAGCUAAGGCUAUAGAUGAAUAUGCUAUUUUCAAGUCUAAGGCUGAUGAUUCUAUAAAAGUGGACCCAAGAAUGGAAGUGAUUGUAGAGAGAUUGUUGAAUAAGUAUGUAUAAACUACAAUUAUUCUUAUGUUUUUUGUAUCCUUAACUUUGAGUUCCCUCAAUUCUCAAUUUUCGUUGCUUUUCCUCAAUUCAGGUGUAUUGUGGAUGGAAAAUACCAACAAGCUAUGGGAACUGCCAUUGAAUGCAGGAGAUUGGAUAAACUCGAGGAAGCAAUUACAAGAAGUGACAAUGUUCAAGGAACUCUAUCAUACUGCAUUCACGUCUCUCAUUCCUUUGUGAAACUUAGAGAAUACAGACAGGAGGUAAGGGAAAUGAGAUCUUAAUAGUUAUAUUGAAGUCUAUACGCUGAAUAUAUCCGGAAAAUCUUCCCUUCCUUUUUCAUCCCUUUAAUUUUAGUUAUUGAGCUAUAUUCCAUUGAAUUUUUAUGAUUUUAAUCAUCUUUUAAACAUCUCUUUUGGUGUUUACCGUUAAUAGUUAAUAGGACACAAAUCUUUAGCAACUGUUCUCAAAUGAGACAAAUGUUUGUGCUGGAAAUAUUUAUGAAGAAUUUUUAACAGCGGUGGUCUUGACGAAAGUUGAUAUUGCUUGUUUUUUUUUUUUUUUUGGUUCAGGUUCUCCGUCUCCUUGUUAAAGUAUUUCAAAAGCUUCCAUCACCAGAUUAUCUGAGCAUUUGUCAGUGUCUUAUGUUCUUGGAUGAGCUAGAGGGGGUUGCGAGCAUAUUGGAAAAACUUUUACGUUGUGAAAACAAAGAUGAUGCUCUUUUGGCACUUCAAAUAGCUUUUGAUUUGGUCGAAAAUGAGCACCAAGCUUUUCUUCUAAAUGUUCAUUGCCAAAGUCUCAACCUUUAGAGCCCGUAGAGCCAGAACCCAGUGAUGCAGAUUCUACUCAGAAUGCUGGUGUUCAUUGCCAAAGUCUUUACUGGAGCCUUUGACUUCGGAUGUCGUUGAUUUUGUUCGUCAGGGUGUGCCCUUAUAGCAAUGGCUAUGCUCAUGGUUCAGAUUAGUGAAGCUAGUGAUUCACGUGUUGGAACCUUCAGGUAAGGAAAGUAUAUUAUUUGGAUAUUGAAGCAAUAAAUCUGUUAAUUUCUGACAUGCCGUGUAUUCCAGGCUGACAAUUGGAGAAAAUUAUACUUGACAAGCAUGAGGAUACCAUGAGCAAGAUGGGUGCAAUUUUGGCCUCUGGAAUCCUUGAUGCUGGCUGGCUGAAGAAAUGUGACCAUAAGACUACUUUCUAAGACUAAGCAUGAUAAAAUUGCUGCAGUGGUUGGUCUUGCAGUUUUCAACCAAUUUUGGUAUUGGAACCCCCUUAUCUAUUUCAUAAGCUUGGCUUUUUCACCAACGGCUUUAAUCGGUCUGAACUAUGAUCUGAAAUCUCCAAAGUUUGAAUUCUUGUCUCAUGCAAAGCCUUCACUUUUUGAAUACCCCAAGCCUACCACUGUUCCCACUAAGCCAUAAAACAUGUCGGUGAAAGCAAAUUCAAUCAUUUAAGCAAAAAACCAUAAAACAUUGAAGGCUUAAUUGAUCUGCCGAUCCCUUAACUUAUUUCUUUUAUUCAAUUUGGUCACAUAAGUCUUAACUUUCUCAAAUACGUCCCUUAAUUUAUUUCUUUUAUUCAAUUUAAUCCAAUUUUAAUAAUUUUAAUCCCCUAGAAAAAAAGACCAUUGGAUUACGGAGGUCUAUGAGAUUUUACGGUGUAUCAGCAACACCUAAUUUAUUUACUUUCUUUUUCUUCUUCCCCAUCUUCAUCUACUACAUUCAUCAUUCAUCAAUAAAAUCCAGGAAAAAAAAAUUUUAAACCUACUAUUUAAUCAUUCAUACAAUAUACCAAAACAAAAAUCCAGAAAAAAAAAAAAAUCAACAUGUAACCAACAAAUAAAAACAAGAUUCAACAACAAUUCAUCUCUUCAACAACUUAAUACUCCUAAAUCUUAAAAAUAAAAAAAAAAUUAAUACUGUUAAUGAUGUUAUCAGAUCUAGUUUUUUUGUUUCGUUGAUUUCGAUUUUGAUUGGAUUUGUUCGUUGUUUUUAUUUUGUUUUUGCGAUUAGGUUGUUGAAGGUUGUGAGUUUUGAAUUUGGGUUGAAGGUUUUGAAGGAUGAAUGAAGAUGAUGGAAGAAGAAGAAGAAAGUAAUUAAAUUAGGUGUUGGUGAUACGCUAUAAAAUCUUAUAGAUCUCCAUAAUCCAACGAUCUCUUUUUUUAGAGGAUUAAAAUUAUCAAAAUUGGACCAAAUUGAAUAAAAGAAAUAAGUUAAGGGACAUGUUUGACAAAGUUAAGACUUAUGAGACCGAAUUGAAUAAAAGAAAUAAGUUAAGGGACCGACAGAUCAAUUAAGCCAACAUUGAAAGUAUUGAAGCUGGAUUCACCUCAUAAAUUGACUUAUGCUGGAGCAAUGGAUGCAUAAAUAAGCCAUAAAACAUAACGAACACAGUGACAUCAAUAAAAUUCAAUCAUUUAAGCAUAAACCAUCAGGAAGAGACAAUAGUCACAAAUAUCCAAUUACAAAACCUUGAAAUUCAAUAGCACAUGUCAUAUGAAAAAAAAAAUUGAGUACAAAAUUCAAGACUAAUAUCUUUAUUAGACAGUCACAAUAAAAAAUAAUAAUUGUCACAUUUAAACCUCAAACAAUAGAAUCAGAUAAAGAAUCGUGCACAAAAAUAAUACUUAAUACGAUUAAAAACUCCAAAAAAAAAUAAAAAUCAUAAAACCUACAGUGCUCAAAUUACAGUCUUCAAUGUAAGAGAUAAUAGCAAGCUAGAUGAUAAUUCUAUUCAAAAACUUACCUGGUCAUAAUCAAAACCACCACCUAGAUCUUAGAUUCUUCAACCUGCAAUGGAAAAAAAAAAGUCACGAUAGUCUUCGGCUAGCUAAAAUACAUUGCUAUCAAACAUACAUAGUUACCACUUUUACUAAUGAGUUUAACAAAUGAUAAAGUGGACUUAUUGCAGAAAACUACAAAACGAAAUUGAAGAAACUCCAAAAUGAUUUUUUUUGGGGGAAAUCAGAAUUGUUACCACUCAUAUAUUAGUGAAACAUGACUUACAGUUUCAAAACAAAAGAGAAGGUAAAUGCCAAAACAAUUUAAAUAGAAUUAGAAUAAAAUAAAAAGAGAAGGUAAAUGACAACUAUUACCUUUCCUCCUUACUUGAAUGUUGUAUGUGAAGAAAAAUCAAGCCUAUCUUGAUUGCUGCAUUCUCUUCUCUGUCUUUAACAACAUAAGUGCAUGAUGGUAGCAGCUUCAACCACAUCGCUCCGACAUGAGCCUGCAACAUGUGAAAACAAAUAAAAGAAAAGGAAAAUACAACAAACGGUGGCAUUCAGUGGGAUUUGAUAGUGUGAAACACAUGUCUCGUUGAAGCAAAUCGUUCAUGAAGUCAAAGACAGAAACAGAAUCGGUGAAGUCAAUUUCAAUCCCAAAUCCAAUUAUAUUUGUUGUCACCCUAAUCUCGUCAGAGACCAUAGCUACAACCUCGGCGGAAAAAAGAUGCGUAUUAGUCCAACUAAAGUUCAUAUGUUAUAAGCCUGGUUUAUAAUGAGAAAAAAAAAAAAAUCAUCUGAAACUUAAAAUUAAACCAAUACAUCUAAAAUUGAAAACAAUAUAAAUCCAUAAACUAAGAGAACUUCAAAGUGAUAGCUAAUAGAAGCCUCAAUUUUCAAAUGUAGUGAUUUUUUUUUCCUGAGUUUAUAGCCAAAAAAACACGUUAAAUAUAAUGCAGAAAGAAGUACAGUUACAAAAUACAGCCAAAUUUGAAAUACAUAACUUAAAAUAAAUUGUUUGAAUCAUAGUUAACGUGUAAAAACUUAAACCAAUGGCAAUAAAUUGAACCAUCAAGUUAAAAUACAACCGAAUUUACUGUUUCAUAAUCAAGUGCAGUUAUAAGUUGAAACAUCAAUUUAUUUUAGACUAUAUAAAAAUCUGAAAUCAGAAACUCAAAUAUUACCUACCAUAACAACAUAUACCUUGUUUGGUUGAAGAACAACAGCCUUAGCUCACCUCAAAACGGACCCAAAGCGGCAACAAAAAUUACAGCCGUAUCACACCUCAGAACACCAAAGUUGAAGCACUCUGAUGCUAACUUGCAGACCGUGAUAAAAAAAACUCAAAUUCUAUUUGAAUUAACCUCAAAGUGUAAAACAACAUAAUGAGAACUUAUACUUAAAGUAUAACUACUAUAAAAAUAAAAACAUAUCAAACUUUGGUGAGAACUUAUACUUAAAGUAUAACUACUAUAAUGAGAACUUAUACUCAAAGUAUAACUACUAUAACCAUAAAAACAUAUCAAACUCAAGCCACAUCCAAUCAAAAAGUCAAAAUACAUUUAGAAAUUACUCAAUCGCUUUCACUUACUCCAACAUUCACCAGUAGACGUUUUUAAGUAGGAUAAGGCAUAACAUAUAAGAUAAUAUUCAGAUUAUGAUUUAAGCAAAAUAUAAGCUCUUGAAAAAUGUAGUGCCUCUAAUGGAAAUUUUAAUUUUUGUUCACAAUAAAUCAAUAUUAAAAUACAUUCUCAAAUUUAUUACCAUAAUUUGUUCCCACAAUCAAAAGUAGAUCAUAUUUGUCUCAAGUCGCAAGAUCAUCCAUCUAUGAUAGAUUACUUACAACCCUGCAUGUUAUUUCACACACAGAUCAGAAUCAAAAAACAUCACACAAACAACUACACACAAUGAACGUUGGACAUCUCAUGUGCAAAUACUCAAUUAGUCAUCACCUUAAAGCAUUCACAAAUGCCAUCAAUGAAUCAACGUCUCUCUUUUCUGAAGGAUACUUAAUCGGCCAGGAACAGUGUUUGGGGAAAGAAGAGUAUUGUGGGGUAGCUUCCCAACCUAGUUCACUCUUUGCACAUUCUUUUCCAUCACCGUCCGCUCUAAAUUUUCCAACCUUCACUCCUGACCCUGCUAAGUUCUCUGCCAAAUCCACACAUAUGAUUCGUCCAUAGCCUGUAAGAAUUUAGAUUAAACAUGUUAUUAAUUGAAAUUUCAAGUCAAAUGAAGUAAUGCAGCUUUUAUAAGAGAAUGGUAACAUAAUAUUGAAAGUUCAGGCAUAUUUGCUUAUAAUAGUGACCACAAGAGUACAUUGAAAAUAACAUUGAUGCACUUUAUUCAUUCACUGUAAAUUAUUCCCUACUUUGUAAACUAUUCCAAAGAGUUACAAAAUGCUAAUCCCACAUCAUAAACCCAAAUUAUACUAUUCUCUAUACAUUAUUCCCUACUUUGUAAACUAUUCCAAAGAGUUACAAAAUGCUAAUCCCACAUCAUAAACCCAAAUUAUACUAUUCUCUAUACAUCAAUCUACAAUCUCUUAAUCGAUUAUGUAUUUUACUCAGACCCAAAAGCAAUUCUAUACAACAAAAUCAAUCAAAAAGCCUACUAAGAAUAAUCAAAUCAACCUGAAACCACUCGCAUGAUCAAGCAAACCCAACAAAACCAUAAACAAAUUUUACACAACAAAAUCAUUCAGAAGCACACUUAGAAUAAAAUAAUCAACCUGAAUCAUUCAGAAGCACACUUAGAAUAAAAUAAUCAACCUGAAAGCAAUAGCAAUAUCAUUGCCAAAUUUCUCAAGCGCCCUGUCCAUUAUUUCAAGAGGUGAAGCAUUUUCAAAGUUUUUCGCUAAUUGUUCAAAAUCCUCCUCUUCCUUCUCAAUAAGCUCGGCAAAUCAAAUAGUAAUAUAUAAUAAGCUUUAAUUAACUUCAUUUAAUCAAAUAGUUUUUUCAUUUGUAUACACCAACAAAGAAACAAAUUUGACCAAAAAUCUACUCAUUCAUCCACUCAUAAAAGGUAUGAGACCAUGAAAUCCAUUCAUCACCUUCUUUUCUUUUUACUCCAUUUAUCAUACACAAAACCAAACCAAUUUGGACACACAAUAUGACACUAAAAACCAAAGUGAUAAGAUUAACCAACCAUCUAUAAAAAUAUUCUUUCUUUAUCAUAAAAGUAUCUAAUAAGCAUUCUUUUUUCAUUUUCACUCCCAAGUUGUAAGUAACUUUUGGUCCUAUAUAUUAUCAUUCAUAUAUUUUAUUUACAAAAUCACAUACAGUGGCUGGCCAUAAAAUACAAAAACCAACCAAUAUAAAAAAUAAAAAUAAAAACUUAAAAAGAGCUUAUAUAACUUUAUGAGAUAUAUGAAGAGUACUUAGCAAUAUUAUCAUGCUUAAUCUAUGUUUAAAUUGUGGUAGAACACAAAGCACCCUGUUUUGAAUUCAGAGGAGGCACAUUCAGAGUGGGUCCAAUUCCAAAAGCCACUAUAGAAUCACAAUUAACAUUAAACAUGUAACGAUCAGAAAUCAAGUACCAAUUUUUCAACGAAGUUUUCCAUUGGCUUUAAGACUCAAACACAAUCUUCCAGAUACUUGAUCACGACUCAAUUCACAACAAAUGGAAGGAACAACAGGUAAACCAUAAGAUUGGGAAUGGAUAGGUUUAAUACCAAAAUCAAAACAGACGCACAAAAUCACUAAAAUCAAUCACAAAUAUCAAAAUCACAACAAAUACUGAGAUGAUUAGCACAAAUCUUAAGGGUUUUCGAUUGCCUCAUAAGAAGCUUCACUUUACCAGUAAACUUAUGCUUCAAGAACGUCACUAUACCAGCACCUAUCUCCUUCUACCGAUUUCCAUCUUAAUUGAAACAUUACAACUUCGAUUUCCUGUGAUCAAUGAAAAGCGAUAAAAAAAUGUAAAAUAAAACCCUAAAAUCAAAGGUGAAAUAGGAAAAGUAAAGUACAUAUAUUACAGUAAAACUUUGAUUACCAUUACAUCAGCUACUCUAAUAAUUUGAAAUCUUCAUGUAAUGAAAGACCCAUAUGAGAAUACUGUGAAAUCCAACAAUGAAGCUAUUAGAAGCCAUUGAAAUAGAACAGUGAAAGAUGGAUUCAGAGAGAGAGAGACCAGUGAAGAAGAAAGAGUUACCUGCGACUGUCGAAGUGAUGACCUGCGAUUGAGAAUCAGCAAGGGUGGCGGUGAGGAGGACGAUGGUGAUGGUGGGUUACGGUGGUGAGGUGGUGGUGGCCGGCGAUGGUGAUGCGAGUAGAGGGAGGGAGGGAGAGAUGGAGUUUGGGUUAUGAGAAGAGAAAGAAGUUUUGAUUUGGGAGACAUGGUCACAUGGAGUAUCAUAGUUGCUUGCAAUUGCAAACCCUCUAAAUCUGAUUGGCUAAUUGCAUGGUACAGUAUCGUAGUUGUGCUUGUCUCUAAUUGGUUGGUUGUUUGGUGGAUUGGAGGAUCACAUGAACUGGAUUACAUGUCCAGAAAAAGCAGUAUCAUAAAAUAAAAAAAUAGCAAAAUAACAUCCUCAAUCCGUCCAAAAGUUUUGCUCAACUUGAUAAAUAGGUUCAGUUGCACCAGUACUGGUUGGUGAACACAAUUUUGUACGAAGGACCAACAUUCGAGGAGCCAUAGGAUAUAUGAUCUUAUUGUUACCAGCAUCUGUCACACCAAGACUAAUUGUUGCACCUUCAACGAACCUACGUGAAUUGCAAAGUUGUAGCCACUGACCAAAAAGAGUGCACGACAUAACCUUUACGCGACUGAAUUUGAAAUCACAUUUUCAACUACAACCCAAGUAAUCCACGACAGUUAAUUCUGCUUCGUCAGCAGGCAAUGCAGUCUGACAAAAACCAAACCAAGACAGCUUCUGCAAGACAUCUUCCACAAAACCAAUUAAAUAUAUAUCUUACCAAAUUGCCAAAAACAACAUCAGAGGUUGUCAACUCCUUAACAAUUGUGUGGUAAAACAUUGUGGGAAGAAAGAGAGUGGAAGCACCAUUUGGAAUGAUGGAGCAGUCGGAAGAACUUCAAAAGGCAUAUCAACUAUUUCCACCAAAUUAUACAUGACUCAUCAUUUUCUUCAAUAAAAAUAGACAACAACUUACUAAAAAAAUAGACAACAAUUAACCAUAAUCCCAAAGAAAGAAUUGCAAAAACAGUAACUAAUUCUCUUUAUAAGUAAUUGUUUUUCUAGAAUCAAAUCUGCUAAUAUUAUUUAUCAUAUUCAUUGUGCAGCAAAGCAUUCAUACUUGUGCAUUUGCUAUAAACAUAUCAUCCACUUAAAUCUUAGUAAUAAACAAUAGAAUAGAAGAAGAAGAAUAAAGCAUCUACUUACUUACAAUAGUGACAGAAUUAACACAAUCUUUUUCUUUUUUAUUAAGGCUUAAUUGCAUUUUUGGACCCCUAUCUUUUCAAAAGUUGCGGUUAUGGACCCCUAACUAAUUUAAAUACAAAACAGCCCCCUAUGUUUUGAUUGUUUGGAAGUUUUGGACCCCCAAUUUAUUGUUGGCUCGGUCAACGCUGACGUGGCACCCUAAGCUAGGUGCCACGUGUCAAAUUUUUUAUUUUUUAUUUUUGCCUUGGGGGUCCAAAACUGCAAAAGAAUCAAAACAUAGGGGGCUGUUUUGUAUUUAAAUUAGUUAGGGGUCCAUAACCGCAACUUUUGGAAAGAUAGGGGUCCAAAAGUGCAAUUAAGCCUUUUAUUAACUUAUACUACCACCUGAACUAUGUUUUUUUUUUUUUGCAAGCUACAUCUCUUAUGGGGCUAAAACAUCAAGCAUGAUCCUCUUGUCUUGUUAGUUUCAAGUAUUGACUUUGCUAGAAUAUUUAACAGGUCUGAUGUAAGCAAAUAAUUUAAGGUUCAAUCUUAAAUAUAAUGAAAAUAGUUAUAAUGACUCAAUCUUACAAUGUUCCUAUUGAUCGCAGAGCUGAAAAAUGACGGAUUAGAGUUUUUUUUGCUGAGAAAUUGCAGAUUAAAGUUAAGUUGAAGAUCGUUAUCUUCGACUUUGUUAUCUAAAAUAUGUCCUUUUCAUAGCAAGUUCGUGAAACAUUGGCAAUGUCAUCUUAUAAUAUGUUCCUCGAGACAGACUAUACUUCAAUUCAAUUUCUUCAUAUUUAUAUCUAAUAAGCAUAAGCAUUUGGUUACAGUUUUAUUUUACUUUGUAUAACCUGAGUUUUGAAAAUUAAUGAUCUCAUAGUAUGAAGAGAAUAACGCUAAUAUAGAAAGAAAUUAAAUGACAGAAUGCAUAAGAUAAGAAUCUAAUUAAAGCCACGCACGCUCUUGCAAUUCCGGCGAAAUGCAACAUUAAUGAAAACAAACAAAUUACAAUAAGAGUAAAAACUAACAAUUAAUUAGUUGUGUAUCAAUUGACUAACUUUCAAUUGCUAGUGUUUUCUACUAAUCAUAUGACAAUAGUGAAUCAAAAGAAGUUGUAGUAGCAGAAAAGGUGACACUUAGUAUCCUCAACGUAAUUAAAAAACAAUAUAUUUUGUUAUCCUUUGCUUAAUUAAUCUUUUCAUCGGUGUUGUUAAUGGGGCUUAUUUUCUGUCUUAUUCCUACAACAAAUAUUCCAUCAUGCUCCAUUAUUGUUAGAAGUCAAAAAAAGGCCAAGCUUAUACACAGUAGGAAUUCUAAUUAUAAUAAUAAGCUAAAGUAAAAUCUAAUGAGUCAUUAAAGGUCUUUCAGGACCUUCUCUACAUGCAUAGGCUUCUAUGAAACAUCUAUAAUCAAUAUUUGAAUAAAUAAGCAAGGACCUGCUGUUUCGGUCAUCCCCUUUCUUCCGGAUCUUCAAGCCACAUUCCCAGCUCCAUAUGUAACUGAAAUCACGCCAAAACCUACACCUGUUACCAAUAAACAAUAUGUCAGGUAUCCCACACCAGCAGAUUUGUGGCCAUCACAACUGCUUGGAGGAAAAAACUGUUGAUGUUCAAUUGAUCAAGUCGAACAAAAGAGCACUUCAAAUCAUUAAGAAGCUACUCAUAAAUAUUUUAUUAAAAAUGGAAUAGAAUUUUUACUUUUCAGAUAAAAAAAACAUGAAUAAUAUCAACCCCAAAGAAAAUAAUCUAACCAUACUUCUUUAGCAUGAAAUGGAGACAAAUAAGGGAUUAACUAAGAGUAAAAUUAAACUGACAUAUAUGUAGUUUAAUCAAAGAUUAUAUGGCUCAAAGAGCACAGUAUGGUAAGUUGUGACAUAUCAUAAAAUCAAUUUCAACAGAUCUCAUUUUACUCUUCAAUUUUGCAUUUUCACUUUUCAACAUGUGUAACACACUUCUCUCAAAAAAAAAAAAAACGUUUAACACACUUCACAUUCUAGUUUACUCCUUAUUUCAAUAAAAUUUUCAUUAGUUUAUUCAAAAAGAAACUACAUUUGAUGCAUCAAAUAGAAAUAGAAUCUAAUCCUCAAAUUACAUCAACAAUACUUGCAUGUACUGUCAUAUAUUGCAUUGGAAAGAAGAAAACGUAUGAAAAGUCAAGUUAAAUAUUGGAAACGGUGAAAUGAGGGGAGAAGAUAUUAAUAUGCCUUUGGGUACAUGCAUCGGCAGAGUGCAAUUGUUGUGGGAGGGAAAUUUAGAUUUUGAAUUUAGAGUGAUGAUUUAAUGCUUGUAUGAUAGAGGAAAAAUAUUAGGUUAAAAUUAAGGUAUGAGAUUGCUUGACGAAACAAGCUUUAGUUAAAAUUAAGGUAUGAAAUUGCUUGACGAAACAAGCUUUAGUAAGAAAAAUAAGAUUAUGAUUAUGAUAGGUAUAAAUUUAAACCUAAAUAAAAGUUCGAAGGAUUUAGAUCUUAAAAAGAAAAAGAAAUUGAAUUAAUUGAGUUAAAUAUUGCAAGCGGGGUCCAGCAAAAUAUGUGUCAGACCGUUUGCGAUCCAUUCGUGAAAUCGCUGUAACUAGCAUUUUUCAAUAUUAAAAAAACUUGGUAAAGCUACCUAAAUUUUUUACUAAUAUUCAAAUUGUGUAAUAAAAUAUCAACUUACUAGAAUCUGAAGAAAAAGCAAAAUGGCAACACUCCAAAUCAUUACUAUUGUAUUGCAGCAACAAAUUCAUAAGGGUAAACAAAAAGUCUACUAGCUCUACCAAACACAGACACCACAUAAACUGAAAUUGCAACAAUUGUGGCUCAUCAAAAUUAAUGCCGUAUUCAUGACUAAUAAUAAUUCAUUAUUAUUGGCAAGAGGAGAACGAGCACAUCAUAAGAGAUCAUAUUGCAAUAACUAAAAAAAUGCCAAACCAAGAAAAGAGAUCAACAUGAGCCCAAACUAUUUGGGGAAAGAGAUCAUGUUCAUCAAGAUUUCAAAGGUAUGCCUUUUAAAUUAACCACAAUUAAGUCCAAAAUUAAAAUUUAUAGCAUUAAAUGGAAAAAAUCCAUAAGAAAACAAAUCAUAAAAGAGUUUGUCUAACGGGCAAAUUUGCGCAGGAAGACAAGACUCAUAUCAGUAUCUUAAAAAACAAAAACAAAUAAUAUAGUGAAAACAAAACUCCUAUUAGAAGCUGCAUUAUCGUUACUUUUCCUUCAGCACUAUACUCUCCACACCAAUGUCUUUCCCAUUACCAUUCCUGCAAGGUUAAACAAGAAUUCAAUCAGUUUUUCUUUCUUUCUUUCUUUUCUUUUCCCUUUCAAAAAUGAAAGAAAUAAUAUAUAAAUUAAUUUACCUUUUCUUAAGCACCAACUUGCCAUUCACCACGUAACGAAAUACACUUUGGAAGUUUACGACCUUAUAUCUAUUUCCAGUUCUUUCACUACACAUCGUAAAAAUUAAAAAUCAAUUUUUGAUAAAGUAAAAUUAAAAAGAUAAAGGAGGGGGAAUAUAAAGUAAAAAAAUACAUUUGAAGCGUGUAAUGGGAAUCAUCACCCACUGCAACAGUGAUGAAGAGAUAUCGAGGAAGAUCAAACAUAACCGGUGAACUGCAAGAAAGAAUCGUGUGUGUGUUAGAAAAGAAAAAAUAUAAAAAAAAUAAAUCAAUAAAGGUAAUUUAAACUAUACUUACGGAUUGUAAGUGUUCAUCGAAAAUAGAAGGUGAAUUGUUUUCACGGAAAGAGAGGGUUUGGGAAAGUAUAGAUUUGUGAUAUUUAUAAAGAUAGAUUAGGGAUAUUUACACUAUAUCCGUUGUAGUAACGUGAUAUUUACAAGAAAAUUAAAGAUUGUGUAGUGAGGUAAUUUAAUUUAGAGAAAUUAGGGAUUGAGAAAUAUUUGUUUUUUGACAACUCUGUCUAAAAAAGAAUCGAUGCUUACCGGCGAUAAUUUGUGGAUUGUGAAUCUUCAUGAACGCUGAGGAUUUGUAGAUCUCAGCUCAUGUUUGAUAGGAUUUGUAGAACUCGGGUGAUUUGUUCAUCUCAGCUCUUAGGUGAUUUGGAUUGGGGAGGAUGAGUGGAUCGCAUGUCUAAUAGACUGAUACUUUGAAUGGUGAAUAAGGGAGGAGGGCGUACAUGGCAUAGGGAUCUGUAGGGAAGCUAACGGUGAGAGAGAUGAUGAGAAGCUUUUGGAGAAAAAACUAGAGAAAUUGGAGACGGCGAUGGACAGAAAGAAAUGACAAAUGAGAAGGAAGUGGUUGAUAUUUAGUGAGAGUAGGUAGGGGUGGGUACCCAAAAAAGUUUAAUUUCACCUUUAUUUUUUUAAUUAUAUUGUAUUUAUUUUCUUUUAAAUCAUCAUAACUUAUCCCCCAUUUCUAAUAAAUCUCAAUUUAAACACAUUAACCAAUCAAAAAUUUGGAGCUAUACAUUACUUCUUGCAUAAGCUAUUUUGACAUAAGCUCAAAUUAGUCUUAUAAAUAAUACAAAGUUUAUUUAUUUGCAUAAGCUCAAAUAAGUCUUUUCUAAAAAAACAAUAUACCAAGAUAUGUACACAAUUUUUUAUAAAAAUAAUUAAAUAUCCGACAUAUGUUUUUUUGUAGUUUUAGUCCUAACCCCCAUUUUCCCCUAAAAGAAAGUUGAUUUGUCUUAUUUUUAAAUUACGUGGACAAAAAACACUUAGGUGGCAUUUCCAACAUGGAAAAUGACAUUAACAUAUCAUCAAAUCAAAUUUUUUAAUUGAAAAAUAAUUAAAAUAUUUCAGAAAUUAAAAAAAAAAAAAAACAUUUCAUGGUCAAUUAAAAGAUCAAGUUAAAUAAAUUAUGGGAUUCCAAAAAUAAAACUAAAAACCCAAAAAUAUUCAUCUUCUUCAUUGGUCUCUUCAUCUUCAAUCUAGGAUAGAACUCAUACCCAAAAAUCAUCACAUAUCAACACAUCUCUCUUUCACCAUAGAUCACAAACACACAAAACCCUAUUUCCAAUUCAAUCAAAACCCUAAAUUUAUAAAUAAUAAAAUCCGAAAUCUGAAAUGAAAGAAGGAAAAUGUGCUGCUUCAACCCAAAUACGAAAAUCUCAUCUCUAUAUUUGCCCAAUGUAACUCAAGUAACCUGCACCACUUCUAGAUCUCUCUUUCACCUUCGUUUCUUUUUUUUUUCUUUCACGAAGCCAUGGACUAUCAUGUUAAUUUGACAAGAGUGAAUGAGACUGUAAGUUUCUUUGUUUUUCUUUCACAAAAUUGAUUGGAGUGAAGGAGACAUAUCUAUUUGUUUCAUGGGUUGUCGUGUUUAUGUGUUAUGUUUUGAUUUAAACCCAUAUUUGGUUAAUGAUGGUAAUAAACAUGGAUCUACCAAUAAUGAUGUUUGGUGGCGAUGAUGAUGAUGGUGGUGGUGAACGAUGGUGUUGGUAUGAUGAAGGAGGGAUGAUGAAUUGUAAAUGGAUCUACCUACCAUGGUGUUUGAUUUUAGGGAUGAUAAUGAACUAUUGAGAAGAUGGAUUAUAAAUGGAUGAAGAUAUGAAGGAAUGUUAACAAUUUUGGGUUUUGAUAUACCGUUGAGGUUUAUUUUAUUUUUUUAAUUAUGUACAUCUAUAUUUUUAAUUGUUUUCUAUCAUUUAAUUGAUUUAUAUGUAUUUUUGAAUAAUAAGAUAAUUGUUUUUCCAUGUAUGAUUUGCCACGUAAGCGUGUUUUUGGACACCUCAUCUGAAAAUCUGACACAUCAACAUUUUUUGAAGGAAAAUUUGGGGUUAGGAUUAAAACUGCAAAAAAAAAAAAAACAAUUGAAAGUGAUGCAAUAGUAAACUUAAUGAAAGUGAGAGUAGUAGAGUCGUCCGGCCAAGUAGUAGAGUCGUGUUGAGCCACCUAGGAUAGAGUGUUAACUCUAAUGUUGUUCUUGUUGAUUGUUCUGAGUUGUUGUUUCUUAUGUAGAACCUUGAGAUGACUGGUAAUAGUGAUGCUGCUCUUGUUGCUGCGCUUUAGGCUGUAGCUCAAGCUGUUCAACAGCAACCGAAAGUUGAUGCUGGUAAUGAUGGAACUAGGAUGUUGGAGACUUUCUUGAGGAAUCAACCACCAACAUUUAAAGGGAGGUAUGAUCCUGAUGGCGCCCAGAAGUGGCUUAAGGAGAUUGAAAGAAUUUUCAGGGUAAUGCAGUGUUCAGAGGUGCAAAAAGGUGCGGUUUGGAACGCACAAUGUUAGCGGAAGAGGUUGAUGACUGGUGGAUAAGUUUGUUGCCUGUGCUGGAGCUGGAUGGAGCUGCGGUAACUUGGGCUGUGUUCAGGAGAGAGUUCCUGAGUAGGUACUUCCCGGAAGAUGUCAGAGGUAAGAAAGAAAUAGAAUUUCUGGAGCUGAAACAGGGUGAUAUGUCAGUAACAGAAUAUGCUGCAAAGUUUGUGGAGCUUGCUAAGUUUUAUCCACAUUACACCGUUGAGACUGCUGAGUUCUCUAAGUGCAUAAAGUUCGAGAAUGGUCUGCGUGCUGAUAUUAAGCGGGCCAUUGGUUAUCAGAAGAUUAGAAACUUUUCUGAGUUGGUGAGUAGCUUUAGGAUUUAUGAGGAUGAUACCAAAGCUCAUUAUAAGGUGAUGAGUGAGCGGAGGAAUAAGGAUAAGAAUCGUUCUAAGCCGUACAGUACCCCGGGUGAACUUAGGUUGAAUGACGAGAGGAGGCCCAAGAGGGAAGAGAAAACAUAUAUGCAGCGGAAUGAUGUGCUUCUAGUAUCACUUCAAAAGCUGGUUGAGAGUGCUUCUGAUGUGAUGUUCAGAAUCAGAUAUGCAGCGGAAUGAAAACAGAGCAGAGAAAAAGGAAGAGAGACACAAGCAAUUAUCAUGGUUCCUUCCACAAACCGGAAGUAGUCCAGUCCCCCUUGUAUUUCCAAGGAGAUUUCCACUAAGAAAUAAUCACACAGAUUACAACUGCUCAAUACUCUCAAGUAUGAGACUUCUCAAAUGCUCAAGCACGCAGGCGAGAGACUUCCAAUGCUCAAGCACUAAAGCAAGAGUCUUCUAAUGCUCAAGCACGCAGGCGAGAGACUUCUAAUCAAACAGAAUUACACAGAAAAUUGUUUGACUUUGAACACUUGAUAUACAAUUAGUGGUGUUCACAAUACAAUGCAAUAAAGACUCUAGACUUAAGAAUUUCUAAGAUAUAUCAAAUCAGUGCAGAAAUUCAAAGUGCUUUUUAGAAUCAAAUUUGGCAGAGUUUUGGCGCUUUUAACUUGUGUUGAUGUCUCUUGCCAAUCUUCAAGUCUUCACUCCUUUAUAUAGUGGUGAGUAGAGAGACGUUGAGAUUUUUAGCACGUCUAAAGAGUCGUUGAGUUCCUUUGAUCAUCCACCAGUAAUCUUUUGCCUGAUUUGGGUGUAGUCCUAUGAAGGAUCAACUUCAAAUUCAUUCCUAUCUUGAAGGAACAUUUAUGCAGGCAGAGCUGUUGUCUUGUCUUGU